Pelobates cultripes (western spadefoot toad) is the source of this 213-nucleotide non-coding RNA. The record is from the annotation of a GenBank genome assembly. Lineage: Eukaryota; Metazoa; Chordata; Amphibia; Anura; Pelobatidae.
CUGGGUGCCAGGUCCAGAUAGGAUUAACCCUUUUUUUUUUUUAUAAACAUAGCAGUUUCAGAGAAACUGCUAUGUUUACACUGAGGGUUAAUCUAGCCUCUAAAGCCUCUAGUGGCUGUCUCAUUGACAGCCGCUAGAGGCGCUUGCGUGCUUCUCACUGUGAAAAUCACAGUGAGAAGACGCCAGCGUCCAUAGGAAAGCAUUAUGAAUGCU